RNAcentral lists this ribosomal RNA (402 nucleotides) under Triticum aestivum (bread wheat). RNAcentral's name for it is "partial small subunit ribosomal RNA". The record is from RNAcentral. Lineage: Eukaryota; Viridiplantae; Streptophyta; Magnoliopsida; Poales; Poaceae.
AUGGUGUCAUGGCUUGCAAAGUCGCAAUCACGAAGGGAAUGUUCUGCUGGCUGCUGCUCUAAACAUCUAAAUCUUCGAAAAUACGUUUUUUUGGUCAUACAACUUGUCAUUUGGUUCAAAUACAGUCACUCUGUUCCAGGCAUGCGUAUUCAGCAUGCAUGGGUCCACUGUCAGCGACCUGCACUGUUUCAUGCCGACAUGCUCGCGGCUUUUUUGCCCAAACCCCCCCUCGAAUCUUGUCUAUUUGUGGCUGCCGCGUGUCUCCUAACCGCUUCAUCUCCUGACCAUUCCGAGGCGGAUACGGAGGCGUCGGAGGCGGUGUGUCAAGGCGACCGUCAUCGGAGGAGAUGGACGACCCGCGUCGUCGACGUCCGAGUGAAGCAGCGCCGUCAUAUGUGUUAA